GAUGAACGCUGGCGGCGUGCUUAACACAUGCAAGUCGAACGGAACUGUCAUUUUUGAAGCAAUUAGCUUGCUAAGGGUGGAAAUGUUGGCAGUUUAGUGGCGGACGGGUGAGUAACGCGUGGGUAACCUGCCUUGCACUGGGGGAUAACACUUAGAAAUAGGUGCUAAUACCGCAUAAGCGCACGGGAUCGCAUGGUCUUGUGUGAAAAACUCCGGUGGUGCAAGAUGGACCCGCGUCUGAUUAGCUGGUUGGCGGGGUAACGGCCCACCAAGGCGACGAUCAGUAGCCGGCCUGAGAGGGUGGACGGCCACAUUGGGACUGAGACACGGCCCAAACUCCUACGGGAGGCAGCAGUGGGGAAUAUUGGACAAUGGGGGGAACCCUGAUCCAGCGACGCCGCGUGAGUGAAGAAGUAUUUCGGUAUGUAAAGCUCUAUCAGCAGGGAAGAAAGAAAUGACGGUACCUGACUAAGAAGCCCCGGCUAACUACGUGCCAGCAGCCGCGGUAAUACGUAGGGGGCAAGCGUUAUCCGGAUUUACUGGGUGUAAAGGGAGCGUAGACGGCAAUGCAAGUCUGGAGUGAAAGGCGGGGGCCCAACCCCCGGACUGCUCUGGAAACUGUAUAGCUGGAGUGCAGGAGAGGUAAGUGGAAUUCCUAGUGUAGCGGUGAAAUGCGUAGAUAUUAGGAGGAACACCAGUGGCGAAGGCGGCUUACUGGACUGUAACUGACGUUGAGGCUCGAAAGCGUGGGGAGCAAACAGGAUUAGAUACCCUGGUAGUCCACGCC
Molecule: ribosomal RNA, 787 nt
Filed under: uncultured bacterium
Lineage: Bacteria
Description: bacterial SSU rRNA
Rfam family: Bacterial small subunit ribosomal RNA
Source: RNAcentral